This 1491-nucleotide ribosomal RNA is filed under the name uncultured bacterium. RNAcentral's name for it is "16S ribosomal RNA". It matches the Rfam family "Bacterial small subunit ribosomal RNA". The record is from RNAcentral.
AGAGUUUGAUCAUGGCUCAGGAUGAACGCUGGCGGCGUGCCUAAUACAUGCAAGUCGAACGCGGGCACUUGUGCCCGAGUGGCGAACGGGUGAGUAAUACAUAAGUAACCUGGCCUUUACAGGGGGAUAACUGCUGGAAACGGCAGCUAAGACCGCAUAGGUAGGGACACUGCAUGGUGACCGUAUUAAAAGUGCUGCAAGGCACUGGUAGAGGAUGGACUUAUGGCGCAUUAGCUGGUUGGUGAGGUAACGGCUCACCAAGGCGACGAUGCGUAGCCGACCUGAGAGGGUGACCGGCCACACUGGGACUGAGACACGGCCCAGACUCCUACGGGAGGCAGCAGUAGGGAAUUUUCGGCAAUGGGGGGAACCCUGACCGAGCAACGCCGCGUGAAGGAAGAAGGAAUUCGUUCUGUAAACUUCUGUUAUAAAGGAAGAAAGACGGAUGGAGGAAAUGACAUCCGAGUGACGGUACUUUAUGAGAAAGCCACGGCUAACUACGUGCCAGCAGCCGCGGUAAUACGUAGGUGGCAAGCGUUAUCCGGAAUUAUUGGGCGUAAAGAGGGAGCAGGCGGCAGCAAAGGUCUGUGGUGAAAGACUGAAGCUUAACUUCAGUAAGCCAUAGAAACCGGGCAGCUAGAGUGCAGGAGAGGAUCGUGGAAUUCCAUGUGUAGCGGUGAAAUGCGUAGAUAUAUGGAGGAACACCAGUGGCGAAGGCGACGAUCUGGCCUGCAACUGACGCUCAGUCCCGAAAGCGUGGGGAGCAAAUAGGAUUAGAUACCUUAGUAGUCCACGCCGUAAACGAUGAGUACUAAGUGUUGGAAGUCAAAUUUCAGUGCUGCAGUUAACGCAGUAAGUACUCCGCCUGAGUAGUACGUUCGCAAGAAUGAAACUCAAAGGAAUUGACGGGGGCCCGCACAAGCGGUGGAGCAUGUGGUUUAAUUCGAAGCAACGCGAAGAACCUUACCAGGUCUUGACAUACUCAUAAAGGAUCCAGAGAUGGAUAGAUAGUUAUAUGAGAUACAGGUGGUGCAUGGUUGUCGUCAGCUCGUGUCGUGAGAUGUUGGGUUAAGUCCCGCAACGAGCGCAACCCUUGUCGUUAGUUACCAUCAUUAAGUUGGGGACUCUAGCGAGACUGCCAGUGACAAGCUGGAGGAAGGCGGGGAUGACGUCAAAUCAUCAUGCCCCUUAUGACCUGGGCUACACACGUGCUACAAUGGAUGGUGCAGAGGGAAGCGAAGCCGCGAGGCGAAGCAAAACCCAUAAAACCAUUCUCAGUUCGGAUUGUAGUCUGCAACUCGACUACAUGAAGUUGGAAUCGCUAGUAAUCGCGAAUCAGCAUGUCGCGGUGAAUACGUUCUCGGGCCUUGUACACACCGCCCGUCACACCAUGAGAGUUGAUAACACCCGAAGCCGGUGGCCUAACCGAAAGGAAGGAGCUGUCUAAGGUGGGAUUGAUGAUUGGGGUGAAGUCGUAACAAGGUAACCGUA